GGCAAAUUGAAGGUAGUUGAUUACAAUCCAGACUUUAUAGAAUGCCACAUUUUGUCAAUUUCCUUAUCAAUCGGAUUUGGCGUCGCUUUUAUUUUGAUCGUAACUAUAACCGGUUAUAUCUGCCGGUGGCGUUUCCGAUUCCAGUUGUACAAACUUCGUUCACUACGUAAACAAUACAAAGAACUUGUCAACAAAGAGGAUUUCGUAUAUUCUGCGUACGUAGUUUAUUGUUACGAAGAUUUCACAUGGGUAAAAAGAAGCCUCAUUCAAGAAAUAGAAGAGAAGCACGGCUAUAAGUUGUGUAUUCCACACAGGGACUUUGAAUUAGGAAAAGUAUUUUCAGAUAACAUU
This 351-nucleotide long non-coding RNA is filed under the name Mytilus galloprovincialis (Mediterranean mussel). Lineage: Eukaryota; Metazoa; Mollusca; Bivalvia; Mytilida; Mytilidae. The record is from RNAcentral.